This 462-nucleotide ribosomal RNA is filed under the name Salmonella enterica subsp. enterica serovar Infantis. Its description in RNAcentral is "partial 23S ribosomal RNA". It matches the Rfam family "Bacterial large subunit ribosomal RNA", at positions 1273 to 1735 of the family's 2925-position model. RNAcentral also lists the same sequence under 29 other names. The record is from RNAcentral. Lineage: Bacteria; Pseudomonadati; Pseudomonadota; Gammaproteobacteria; Enterobacterales; Enterobacteriaceae.
CUGGAGGUAUCAGAAGUGCGAAUGCUGACAUAAGUAACGAUAAAGCGGGUGAAAAGCCCGCUCGCCGGAAGACCAAGGGUUCCUGUCCAACGUUAAUCGGGGCAGGGUGAGUCGACCCCUAAGGCGAGGCCGAAAGGCGUAGUCGAUGGGAAACGGGUUAAUAUUCCCGUACUUGGUGUUACUGCGAAGGGGGGACGGAGAAGGCUAUGUUGGCCGGGCGACGGUUGUCCCGGUUUAAGCGUGUAGGUGUGUGUUCCAGGUAAAUCCGGUUCACUUUAACACUGAGGCGUGAUGACGAGGCACUACGGUGCUGAAGCAACAAAUGCCCUGCUUCCAGGAAAAGCCUCUAAGCAUCAGGUAACAUCAAAUCGUACCCCAAACCGACACAGGUGGUCAGGUAGAGAAUACCAAGGCGCUUGAGAGAACUCGGGUGAAGGAACUAGGCAAAAUGGUGCCGUAACU